ACCUGCAGCCCGAGUGGUGCUCGUUAUUAUUGGGUCUAAAUCGUCCGUAGUCGGCUGAGUAGAUGCCUGGGUAAAUCGAGGCGCUCAACGUCUCGAAUUCCAGGUAGACCGCUCGGCUAGGGAUCGGGAGAGGUGCAAGGUACUCCGGGGGUAGGGGUAAAAUCCUGUAAUCCUCGGGGGACCACCAGUGGCGAAGGCGUUGCACUAGAACGAGUCCGACGAUCAGGGACGAAGCCCUGGGGCGCAAACGGGA
Molecule: ribosomal RNA, 253 nt
Filed under: uncultured prokaryote
Description: partial 16S ribosomal RNA
Rfam family: Archaeal small subunit ribosomal RNA
Source: RNAcentral